This 468-nucleotide ribosomal RNA is filed under the name uncultured bacterium. RNAcentral's name for it is "partial 16S ribosomal RNA". It matches the Rfam family "Bacterial small subunit ribosomal RNA", at positions 28 to 507 of the family's 1533-position model. The record is from RNAcentral.
GAUGAACGCUGGCGGCGUGCUUAACACAUGCAAGUCGAACGGUGAAGGCGGAGCUUGCUCUGCUGGAUCAGUGGCGAACGGGUGAGUAACACGUGAGCAAUCUGCCCCUGACUCUGGGAUAAGCGCUGGAAACGGCGUCUAAUACUGGAUACGAGCUGCGAAGGCAUCUUCAGCAGCUGGAAAGAACUUCGGUCAGGGAUGAGCUCGCGGCCUAUCAGCUUGUUGGUGAGGUAACGGCUCACCAAGGCGUCGACGGGUAGCCGGCCUGAGAGGGUGACCGGCCAAACUGGGAACGGAGAAAGGCCCAAACUCCUAAGGGAGGGAAGAGGGGGGAAAAAUGGAAAAUGGGCGGAAGGCUUAAGGAGCAAAGGCGCGGGAGGGAAGAAGGCCCUCGGGUUGGAAACCUCUUUUAGCAGGGAAGGAGGGAAAGUGAAGGUAACUGGAAAAAAAGGGCCGGCUAAAUAAGGU